Molecule: ribosomal RNA, 299 nt
Filed under: uncultured bacterium
Lineage: Bacteria
Description: partial 16S ribosomal RNA
Rfam family: Bacterial small subunit ribosomal RNA
Source: RNAcentral
GACGAACGCUGGCGGCGUGCUUAACACAUGCAAGUCGAACGAUGAAGCCUUUCGGGGUGGAUUAGUGGCGAACGGGUGAGUAACACGUGGGCAAUCUGCCCUGUACUUUGGGAUAAGCCUUGGAAACGGGGUCUAAUACCGGAUAUCACUUACCUCCGCAUGGGGUUUGUUGAAAGUUCUGGCGGUACAGAUGAGCCCGCGGCCUAUCAGCUUGUUGGUGGGGUAGUGGCCUACCAAGGCGACGACGGGUAGCCGGCCUGAGAGGGUGACCGGCCACACUGGGACUGAGACACGGCCCA